CCUACGGGAGGCAGCAGUAAGGAAUAUUGGACAAUGGACGGAAGUCUGAUCCAGCCAUGCCGCGUGAAGGAUGAAGGCGCUCAGCGUUGUAAACUUCUUUUGGAUGGGGACAAACCACUCGACGUGUCGGGUGCUGAGGGUACCAUCAGAAUAAGCACCGGCUAACUCCGUGCCAGCAGCCGCGGUAAUACGGAGGGUGCGAGCGUUAUCCGGAAUCACUGGGUUUAAAGGGUGCGUAGGCGGUCUGAUAAGUCAGUUGUGAAAUUCCUCGGCUUAACCGAGUGGACUGCGAUUGAUACUGUGAGACUUGAAUCAGGUUGAGGUAGGCGGAAUGUGACAUGUAGCGGUGAAAUGCUUAGAUAUGUCAUAGAACACCGAUUGCGAAGGCAGCUUGCUGGGCUUCGAUUGACGCUGAGGUACGAAAGCGUGGGGAGCAAACAGGAUUAGAUACCCUGGUAGUCCACGCCGUAAACGAUGAUAACUAGCUGCCAGGGUUCUUAGAACUUUGGUGGCGCAGCUAACGCAUUAAGUUAUCCGCCUGGGGAGUACGGUCGCAAGAUUAAAACUCAAAGGAAUUGACGG
This 582-nucleotide ribosomal RNA is filed under the name uncultured bacterium. RNAcentral describes it as "bacterial SSU rRNA". It matches the Rfam family "Bacterial small subunit ribosomal RNA", at positions 338 to 916 of the family's 1533-position model. The record is from RNAcentral.